RNAcentral lists this ribosomal RNA (460 nucleotides) under uncultured bacterium. RNAcentral describes it as "bacterial SSU rRNA". It matches the Rfam family "Bacterial small subunit ribosomal RNA", at positions 31 to 507 of the family's 1533-position model. The record is from RNAcentral.
GAACGCUGGCGGCGUGCUUAACACAUGCAAGUCGACGGUAAGGCCCUUCGGGGUACACGAGUGGCGAACGGGUGAGUAACACGUGGGUGAUCUGCCCUGCACUUCGGGAUAAGCCUGGGAAACUGGGUCUAAUACCGGAUAGGACUCCUGGCUUCAUGGUUGGGGGUGUAAAGCUUUUGCGGUGUGGGAUGGGGCCCGCGGGCCUAUCAGCUUGUUGGUAGGGUAAUGGCCUACCAAGGCGACGACGGGUAGCCGGCCUGAGAGGGUGACCGGCCACACUGGGACUGAGAUACGGCCCAGACUCCUACGGGAGGCAGCAGUGGGGAAUAUUGCACAAUGGGCGCAAGCCUGAUGCAGCGACGCCGCGUGAGGGAUGACGGCCUUCGGGUUGUAAACCUCUUUCAAUAGGGACGAAGCGCAAGUGACGGUACCUAUAGAAGAAGGACCGGCCAACUACGUG